GAGUGAGCAGCAUCUUCAGCCGCGACGCCGAGCUGUCGGGUGUUUCUUCAGCGGAGGGACUAUUCGUACAGGAGCUGGUGCAGCACGUAGCGGUUCGCGUCGACAACACGGACACUUCCGCGUCACAAAUGUCAGCAUCUAACGCGGUCCAGGAGUCUCUUAAGAACAUCCCAUUGUCCGGCAUCAAGGAACCCCGCCGCUUCAGCGUCGACCGACCCUUCAUGUUCUUCAUCAUCGAUCGCCUCGACAACUUGGUUGUUAUUGCUGGGAAAGUCAUAGACCCAGAAGCACCGACGCCGUUCCAAAUUUAAACAAGAUUUUU
Cydia amplana is the source of this 322-nucleotide long non-coding RNA. RefSeq lists it as uncharacterized. Lineage: Eukaryota; Metazoa; Arthropoda; Insecta; Lepidoptera; Tortricidae. The record is from RefSeq and is a predicted model, not a curated record. The transcript has 2 exons.